GACGAACGCUGGCGGCGUGCCUAAUACAUGCAAGUAGAACGCACAGUUUAUACCGUAGCUUGCUACACCAUAAACUGUGAGUUGCGAACGGGUGAGUAACGCGUAGGUAACCUGCCUGGUAGCGGGGGAUAACUAUUGGAAACGAUAGCUAAUACCGCAUAAUAUUGAUUAUUGCAUGAUAAUUGAUUGAAAGAUGCUAUUGCAUCACUACCAGAUGGACCUGCGUUGUAUUAGCUAGUAGGUGAGGUAACGGCUCACCUAGGCGACGAUACAUAGCCGACCGGAGAGGGUGAUCGGCCACACUGGGACUGAGACACGGCCCAGACUCCUACGGGAGGCAGAAGUAGGGAAUCUUCGGCAAUAGACGAAAGUCUGACCGAGCAACGCCGCGUGAGUGAAGAAGGUUUUCGGAUCGUAAAGCUCGGUUGUAAGAGAAGAACGGGUGUGAGAGUGGAAAGUUCACACUGUGACGGUAUCUUACCAGAAAGGGACGGCUAACUACGUG
Molecule: ribosomal RNA, 505 nt
Filed under: uncultured bacterium
Lineage: Bacteria
Description: partial 16S ribosomal RNA
Rfam family: Bacterial small subunit ribosomal RNA
Source: RNAcentral